UGGGGAAUAUUGGACAAUGGGGGCAACCCUGAUCCAGCCAUGCCGCGUGCGGGAAGAAGGCCUUCGGGUUGUAAACCGCUUUUGUCAGGGAAGAAACGAGUUUCUCUAAUACAGAGACUUAAUGACGGUACCUGAAGAAUAAGCACCGGCUAACUACGUGCCAGCAGCCGCGGUAAUACGUAGGGUGCAAGCGUUAAUCGGAAUUACUGGGCGUAAAGCGUGCGCAGGCGGUUAUGCAAGACAGAUGUGAAAUCCCCGGGCUCAACCUGGGACCUGCAUUUGUGACUGUAUAGCUAGAGUACGGUAGAGGGGGAUGGAAUUCCGCGUGUAGCAGUGAAAUGCGUAGAUAUGCGGAGGAACACCGAUGGCGAAGGCAAUCCCCUGGACCUGUACUGACGCUCAUGCACGAAAGCGUGGGGAGCAAACA
This 427-nucleotide ribosomal RNA is filed under the name uncultured bacterium. Its description in RNAcentral is "bacterial SSU rRNA". It matches the Rfam family "Bacterial small subunit ribosomal RNA", at positions 355 to 774 of the family's 1533-position model. The record is from RNAcentral.